GAUGAACGCUGACAGAAUGCUUAACACAUGCAAGUCCACUUGAACUUCGGUUUGGGUGGCGGACGGGUGAGUAACGCGUAAAGAACUUGCCUCACAGAUAGGGACAACAUUUGGAAACGAAUGCUAAUACCUGAUAUUAUGAUUAUAUGGCAUCGUAUAAUUAUGAAAGCUAUAUGCGCUGUGAGAGAGCUUUGCGUCCCAUUAGCUAGUUGGAGAGGUAACGGCUCACCAAGGCGAUGAUGGGUAGCCGGCCUGAGAGGGUGAUCGGCCACAAGGGGACUGAGAAACGGCCCUUACUCAUACGGGAGGCAGGAGCGGGGAAUAUUGGACAAUGGACCAAGAGUCUGAUCCAGCAAUUCUGUGUGCACGAUGAAGUUUUUCGGAAUGUAAAGUGCUUUCAGUUGGGAAGAAAAAAAUGACGGUACCAACAGAAGAAGUGACGGCUAAAUACGUG
This 454-nucleotide ribosomal RNA is filed under the name uncultured bacterium. Its description in RNAcentral is "partial 16S ribosomal RNA". It matches the Rfam family "Bacterial small subunit ribosomal RNA", at positions 28 to 507 of the family's 1533-position model. The record is from RNAcentral.